RNAcentral lists this ribosomal RNA (373 nucleotides) under uncultured bacterium. RNAcentral describes it as "bacterial SSU rRNA". It matches the Rfam family "Bacterial small subunit ribosomal RNA", at positions 335 to 699 of the family's 1533-position model. The record is from RNAcentral.
ACUCCUACGGGAGGCAGCAGUAGGGAAUCUUCCACAAUGGGCGCAAGCCUGAUGGAGCAACACCGCGUGAGUGAAGAAGGGUUUCGGCUCGUAAAGCUCUGUUGUUAAAGAAGAACACGUAAUGAGAGUAACUGUUCAUACGUUGACGGUUAUUUAACCAGAAAGUCACGGCUAACUACGUGCCAGCAGCCGCGGUAAUACGUAGGUGGCAAGCGUUAUCCGGAUUUAUUGGGCGUAAAGAGAGUGCAGGCGGUUUUCUAAGUCUGAUGUGAAAGCCUCCGGCUUAACCGGAGAAGUGCAUCGGAAACUGGAUAACUUGAGUGCAGAAGAGGUAGUGGAACUCCAUGUGUAGCGGUGGAAUGCGUAGAUAUAU